AUACCCCUGUGGCGUGCGUGAUUAACAGACAAUUUUUGGGCCGACAUGGAAAUUUUUUGGGGGGCUUUCUCUUAUCCGGGCAGGUUUUUCCUUAAGGAAGGAACCUAAAGGGAUAAUAAGGCACCCACUUGCCAAAAAGAGGUUCAAAAAAAAGCUGUUAACACGGCGCUUACGGGGGUAUU
This 182-nucleotide non-coding RNA is filed under the name Candidatus Desulfofervidales bacterium. RNAcentral describes it as "6S RNA". It matches the Rfam family "6S / SsrS RNA". Rfam says of the family: E. coli 6S RNA was the first non coding RNA to be sequenced, but its function was unknown until recently. It consists of 184 nucleotides that fold into an extended hairpin structure with a large single-stranded internal bulge. Lineage: Bacteria; Pseudomonadati; Thermodesulfobacteriota; Candidatus Desulfofervidia; Candidatus Desulfofervidales. The record is from RNAcentral.